AACUUUCAACAACGGAUCUCUUGGCUCUGGCAACGAUGAAGAACGCAGCGAAACGCGAAAGGUAAUGCGAAUUGCAGAAUCAGUGAGUCAUCGAAUUUUUGAACGCACAUUGCACCCCUUGGUAUUCCGGGGGGUACGCCUGUUCGAGCGCCAUCACACACCCCAAGCUCUGCUUGAUGUUGGACGAUGCCUUGGCCCUUCUGGGCUGGGGCACGUCUGGAACCCGUGGGCGCCCCCGCCGAACCACGAGCGUAGCAAGACGCAAGUCACUCGCUUCUGUCGGUCUCGGUGGAGGGUCUGCCUCAAUCCAUUUCUGAAGUUUGGCCUCGGAUCAGGUGGGGAUACCCGCUGAACUUAAGCAUAUCAAUAAGCGGAGGAAAAGAAACCAACAGGGAUUGCCUCAGUAACGGCGAGUGAAGCGGCAACAGCUCAAAUUUGAAAUCUGGGGCCUUCGGCUCCCGAGUUGUAAUUUGUAGAGGAUGCCUCGGGGGGUGCUUCGGCCCAAGUUCCUUGGAACAGGAUACCACAGAGGGUGAGAGUCCCGUAUCCGGCCGGCAGUACCCUCCGCGCGAGGCUCCUUCGACGAGUCGAGUUGUUUGGGAAUGCAGCUCUAAGCGGGUGGUAAAUUCCAUCUAAAGCUAAAUACUGGCCAGAGACCGAUAGCGAACAAGUAGAGUGAUCGAAAGAUGAAAAGCACUUUGAAAAGAGAGUCAAACAGUACGUGAAAUUGUUGAAAGGGAAGCGUAUGGGGGCAGACUUGGCCGCGGGGUUCAGGGUGUCUUUUGGCGCCUGUACUUCCCCGUGGGCAGGCCAGCAUCGGUUUUGGGGGUUGGAUAAAGGCGUCGGGAAUGUGGCUCCCCUCGGGGAGUGUUAUAGCCCGUCGCGCAAUGCAGCCACCCGGGAUCGAGGACCGCGCUUCGGCAAGGAUGCUGGCGUAAUGGCCUCAUACGGCCCGUCUUGAAACACGGACCAAGGAGUCUAACAUCUAUGCGAGUGUUUGGGUGUCAAGCCCGAGCGCGCAAUGAAAGUGAACGGAGGUGGGAGCCCGUAAAAAGGCGCACCAUCGACCGAUCCUGACGUCUUCUGAGGGAUUUGAGUAAGAGCAUAGCUGUUGGGACCCGAAAGAUGGUGAACUAUGCGUGAAUAGGGUGAAGCCAGAGGAAACUCUGGUGGAGGCUCGCAGCGGUUCUGACGUGCAAAUCGAUCGUCAAAUUUGCGUAUAGGGGCGAAAGACUAAUCGAACCAUCUAGUAGCUGGUUCCUGC
RNAcentral lists this unclassified non-coding RNA (1264 nucleotides) under uncultured Venturiales. Its description in RNAcentral is "sequence contains 5.8S rRNA gene, ITS2, 28S rRNA gene". The stretch from base 322 to 1264 matches the Rfam family "Eukaryotic large subunit ribosomal RNA", at positions 1 to 961 of the family's 3401-position model. The record is from RNAcentral. Lineage: Eukaryota; Fungi; Ascomycota; Dothideomycetes.